AUUAGUUGUUGUUAUGCAAGAUAAUGUUUGUCUAAUAAUUGCACCAUUCUUCGUUUAUCAAUUCGCAUAAAAAUAUUUUACAUUAGCGUUUUUUGUGUACAUUAUAAAACUCUCAAAGUUUGAUGUUUCUCUUAACUGUAAAAAAAAUUAAAAAAAAAAAAAAAAUGGAUGAUACACGUCGAACAACAAAUACCGAGUGUUUUUUUUUUUUUUUUGUUCGGUGCGUUAAUAGUUUUGAGACCUAUCGAUACUUUUUAAAAUUCGCAUUUUGUAUCAUCGGUUGGAUUAUUUACAGACACACGACCGGAAUUGUUAAAGGGGUGUCGACAGUUCAUGGAACAACACCGCCUCUUUAGCAGUCCUGUGAGGUAUAAGUCUCCACCCCCUAUUGAUCAAGCGGGGUGAAGGGGGUUUUGUGUGUCUUUCUGGGGAAAUUGAUUUCGGGGGUCGUAUAAAGACACCCAUGUCUCGUCAAUGAACGUACGCUAGCGACCUCGAGUGAAAGCUUCUGUAACUAGAGUGGGAAAUGAUCUAUCGAUUCCGUCUCUUUAACCCAAUCCCGACGACCGUGAUAAAUUUUAAUCCUUUUUAAUUUCCCGAAAUUUAGAUAAAAGAAAAUUCGUUCGUUUUCGACUGCUAAAAAAGUAUUAGAGGGAGAGGAAAAAUAUAUAAAUAUAUAUAAGAAGUUUCUUUCAAAGCGAUAACAGUCGUUACAAUACCAGAUUAUGUGGACUGCGUACAGGUGUUGCAGACCUGCAGCAAAAGCGGUAAUCACAAUUUUGUAAAGUCCCGACCAUAACCGUGCACACUAAUAAAACAGCAACACUUGGGGAUUAAGUAGGUCCAAGUGCUUUCGUAUACGACCGUCCUGAACGUCUUAGUGAUUUACAUUCACCCAACCCCUAUUUCACUCGAUAGAGUUGUGCGACUUCCAGUUUCGAUUACCGAUUUAAUGAUAACGUUUCUGUAGGUCCCGUUCAGAAGUGACAUGGGAGCGAGAGAAGAGAGAUCGUUACCCUAUAACUACGAAACUUUACGAACUUGAGUAGCAAUUCGACAGCAGUUUAGUAUAGCUGUAAAGCAGUGCCAUCUGCAGAUAUGCCGUAUAAUGAUCUAGACUGGAUACCUACCUUUUACUAAAGACUCUGCUAUCCACGGCAAGGAUUCAGAUGAUUCUUUUCUCAAUGAUAGUCAGGUCCGUGACGAAAAAGGACCCACGUUUCUUUUCCCCGUGGGACUAAUUUCUAGAGUCUCUCUCUCUCUCUUCUUUCUCCUGUCUCCAAAAAGUAAAAUGUUGCUCUUAAACCGUUGUAGGUUCUAGUAGGGAAAUUUUCCUCUGUAAAUAAUUGUCAGAAGAAAACUCUUAUCCUUAUUUCGGAAAAUAAAAUCGUUCGAAUCUUCUUCCAUCAUUAAAAUAGAAAAGUUAUAUCCCGAAUCUUUGGGUUAUUGCUAAAUUUAGGAGAGAUUUCGAUCAAAAAUUGCUUUUAGAAGAUAGUUUUAAAUUAUCGUCCGACUAUGUC
Molecule: long non-coding RNA, 1520 nt
Filed under: Androctonus crassicauda
Lineage: Eukaryota; Metazoa; Arthropoda; Arachnida; Scorpiones; Buthidae
Source: RNAcentral